AUACGUAGGGAGCGAGCGUUGUCCGGAAUUACUGGGUGUAAAGGGAGCGUAGGCGGGAGUGCAAGUCAGAUGUGAAAUGCAUGGGCUUAACCCAUGAGUUGCAUUUGAAACUGCAUUUCUUGAGUGAAGUAGAGGUAAGCGGAAUUCCUGGUGUAGCGGUGAAAUGCGUAGAUAUCAGGAGGAACACCGGUGGCGAAGGCGGCUUACUGGGCUUUUACUGACGCUGAGGCUCGAAAGCGUGGGGAGCAAACAGGAUUAGAUACCCUGGUAGUCCACGCUGUAAACGAUGAUUACUAGGUGUGGGGGGACUGACCCCUUCCGUGCCGCAGUUAACACAAUAAGUAAUCCACCUGGGGAGUACGGCCGCAAGGUUGAAACUCAAAUGAAUUGACGGGG
RNAcentral lists this ribosomal RNA (396 nucleotides) under uncultured bacterium. RNAcentral's name for it is "partial 16S ribosomal RNA". It matches the Rfam family "Bacterial small subunit ribosomal RNA", at positions 523 to 918 of the family's 1533-position model. The record is from RNAcentral.